This 253-nucleotide ribosomal RNA is filed under the name uncultured bacterium. RNAcentral describes it as "partial 16S ribosomal RNA". It matches the Rfam family "Bacterial small subunit ribosomal RNA", at positions 524 to 776 of the family's 1533-position model. The record is from RNAcentral.
CACGUAGGGUGCGAGCGUUGUCCGGAAUUAUUGGGCGUAAAGAGCUCGUAGGCGGUCUGUUACGUCUGCUGUGAAAACCCAGGGCUUAACCCUGGGCUUGCAGUGGAUACGGGCAGACUAGAGGCAGGUAGGGGAGAAUGGAAUUCCCGGUGUAGCGGUGAAAUGCGCAGAUAUCGGGAGGAACACCGGUGGCGAAGGCGGUUCUCUGGGACGGUACUGACGCUGAGACGCGAAAGCGUGGGGAGCAAACAGG